RNAcentral lists this ribosomal RNA (482 nucleotides) under uncultured bacterium. Its description in RNAcentral is "partial 16S ribosomal RNA". It matches the Rfam family "Bacterial small subunit ribosomal RNA", at positions 30 to 507 of the family's 1533-position model. The record is from RNAcentral.
AUUGAACGCUGGCGGCAUGCCUUACACAUGCAAGUCGAACGGUAACGGGCCUUCGGUUGCCGACGUGUGGACAACGGGUGAGUAAUACAUCAGAACGUGCCCGAUCGCGGGGGAGAACGAGGCGAAAGCUUUGCUCAUACCGCAUACGAUCUACGCAUGACAGCAGGGAACCGCAGGGCCUUGGGCGCUCUGGCCAUCCGAUGGGCGAUUAGGUAGUUGGUGGGAUAAAGGCUUACCAAGCCGACGAUCCGUAGCUGGUCUGAGAGGAUGAUCAGCCACACUGGGACUGAGACACGGCCCAGACUCCUACGGGAGGCAGCAGUGGGGAAUUUUGGACAAUGGGCGCAAGCCUGAUCCAGCCAUGCCGCGUGCAGGAUGAAGGCCUUCGGGUUGUAAACUGCUUUUGUACGGAACGAAAAGACUUCUUUUAAUACAGGAGGGUCAUGACGGUACCGUAAGAAUAAGCACCGGCUAACUACGUG